RNAcentral lists this ribosomal RNA (99 nucleotides) under Escherichia coli 2-316-03_S4_C1. RNAcentral's name for it is "partial 16S ribosomal RNA". The record is from RNAcentral. Lineage: Bacteria; Pseudomonadati; Pseudomonadota; Gammaproteobacteria; Enterobacterales; Enterobacteriaceae.
CCCCGCGCCAGCGGGGAUAAACCGGAGUAACCACGGUGGCAAAAAUAUCAGGGGUGGUGUUCCCCGCGCCAGCGGGGAUAAACCGCCACAUCCAGCAUU